RNAcentral lists this long non-coding RNA (1429 nucleotides) under Durio zibethinus. Its description in RNAcentral is "long non-coding RNA (DZIB_LNC000069)". The record is from RNAcentral. Lineage: Eukaryota; Viridiplantae; Streptophyta; Magnoliopsida; Malvales; Malvaceae.
GAAUCGACCCGCUUUAGCAUUAUGCGGACUUAAAAAAUCAUUAUUGCUUUCACACGUAAUUCUUCAAAAGAGUAAAAGAAAAAAAAAUCUGCCGCUGUGUCUUUGGUACGAUUAUUGUUGGAGUAUGAUGACAUGGCGGUCCACGUAGCACCAGUCCAAAGCUCACAGCAAAAGGAAAAAAAAAGACAAAAAAAGAAAGGGGUGCGAAACGGUUCAGGGUUUUGGGAUCUUUGGAGUGGCGGCAAAGAGAGAAAAUGCCAGACCAAGAAGACGACCAUCAACAACAACUCAACUCAUCAAGGAGCAAGACAACGAUAACGACGACGACGACGACGAAGAUUAUGACACGCUUGAUGGUAUCUCCUUGGAUCUUACUUUUGAUGCUAAUACUUUUGUUAGAUUCCAAGGCAAAUUAUAUUUUUCAAACGCAAUGUUUUUUAGGUACUUAAUUGUAUGAUUCCUGUUGUGUUUAUUUCUAAGACAAUGGAAGUUUUCAUACGUUGAUGCUUGCAUUUAUUGUAAUCCUUGUGCAAUUCUGUAAUGUUAAUGAUUCUGGUUUUUUUUUUUAAUGCCUCAAAUUUAUCGAUAUCUUAUGUUCUUGAAAUGUAUCUGGACAAGGUGCUGGUUGGAAUAAGAGCUCCAAGUUUCAAUAAUUAUUGUCUGAAAAUUUUCUGAACUAUAGUACAUUCUGUGAGCAUAUUACAAUUGCAUGAAAAUGACAUGUAGGUCCAUCUCUUUUUCUUCCUCCCAUUUUUCUCCUUUUUGGUGCUUUUCCUUGGGAUUUGUAUCGAUCGGCUUUCCCAAUGUACAAAGCAAAAGUUUACGUUGUCCUAGUGUUUCAACAAGGGACCAUGGGCGGAGGAAAGCUUGGAUAUAUUAUGAACACGAUUUUUUGACACUAUGCAUGAACCUUUUUUUCGAUUGUUAUCUUGUACUCGCAUUUUUAUUUUCAUUCAAGAUCUGACGAAUGAAUGUACUUCUGUUGUCCAUGUACCAGUGUUCUCGAGGAUCAAAACCUCAUGAUCAAGGUGAUUCAUCUAGUGUAGAUGAUAUGAAUUUCAAGGCCAGUUAGGUAGAGAUUAUGGUUUGGAUCGGUUUGUUUUAGAUGUUCAAAUAAUGCCUUGACGACUUUUAUUCGAGUUAGACACACGUGUGGUUUAAUUUGCUUUGGGCCUUUUUUGGGUUUGUUAAAUCCUUUUGGUUUAGUGAUCCAAAUUUCAAUCUCACUUUUUCCAUUUUGCAUUUCAUCAACCAUAUUGGAUUUAUUAAGCUGUCCAAAAUUUCAGAUUCAGGGGGAUCAACCGUUGGAUAUAUUAUUGUGGUGGUUCUUUGACACCUAUGACAAUCAUACUGGAGAUGGGUUUUACCUUGAAUCUAUCUGUAGCAUGAAAACAUUCAAAGCUCAACUGUGCUGAUAUUCACCAAUGAG